GUUCUUACUAUGCAGUCGAGCGGCCGUAGCAAUACGGCAGCGGCGCACGGGUGAGUAACGCGUGGGAACCUGCCCUUUGGUUCGGAACAACCCUGGGAAACUAGGGCUAAUACCGGAUAAUCCCCGCAAGGGGGAAAGAUUUUUCGCCGAAGGACGGGCCCGCCCUCGAUUAGCUAGUUGGUGGGGUAAAGGACUACCUAGGCUGCGAUCGGUAGCCGGUCUGAAAGGAGAUCGGUCACUCUGGGACUGAGACACGGCCCAGACUCCUACGGGAGGCAGCAGUGGGGAAUAUUGGACAAUGGGCGCAAGCCUGAUCCAGCCAUGCCGCGUGAGUGAAGAAGGCCUUCGGGUUGUAAAGCUCUUUUGGCUGGGACGAUGAUGACCGUACCCUCAGAAUAAGCCCCGGCUAACUUCUUGCCCGCCGCCGCUGAAAGACCAAGGGGGCUAGCGUUGUUCGGAAUUACUGGCCGUAAAGGGCGCGUAGGCGGCCACUUUAGUCAGACUUGAAAGGCCUGGGCUCAACCUAGGAAUUGCGUUUGAUACUGGGUGGCUAGAGAGCGGGAGAGGAUGGCGGAAUUCCCAGUGUAGAGGUGAAAUUCGUAGAUAUUGGGAAGAACGCCGGUGGCUAAGGCGGCCAUCUGGACCAUAUCUGACGCUUAGGCGCGAAAGCGUGGGGGGCAAACGGGAUUAGAUACCCUGGUAGUCCACGCUGUAAACGAUGAGUGCUGGACUUGGUGGGCUUGCCUGCCGGUGUCUCGCUAACGCUUAAGCACUCCUCCUGGGGAGUACGGCGCAGGUUG
This 800-nucleotide ribosomal RNA is filed under the name uncultured Alphaproteobacteria bacterium. RNAcentral describes it as "bacterial SSU rRNA". It matches the Rfam family "Bacterial small subunit ribosomal RNA", at positions 46 to 896 of the family's 1533-position model. The record is from RNAcentral. Lineage: Bacteria; Pseudomonadati; Pseudomonadota; Alphaproteobacteria.